AUUGAACGCUGGCGGCAGGCUUAACACAUGCAAGUCGAGCGGAGAUGAGGUGCUUGCACCUUAUCUUAGCGGCGGACGGGUGGGUAAUGCUUAGGAAUCUGCCUAUUAGUGGGGGACAACAUUCCGAAAGGAAUGCUAAUACCGCAUACGUCCUACGGGAGAAAGCAGGGGAUCUUCGGACCUUGCGCUAAUAGAUGAGCCUAAGUCGGAUUAGCUAGUUGGGGGGGUAAAGGCCUACCAAGGCGACGAUCUGUAGCGGGUCUGAGAGGAUGUUCCGGCACACGGGGCCUGAGACACAGCCCAGACUACUACGGGAGGCAGCAGUGGGAAAUGUUGGACAAUGGGGGGAACCCUGAUCCAGCCAUGCCGCGUGUGUGAAGAAGGCCUUAUGGUUGUAAAGCACUAUAAGCGAGGAGGAGGCUCUUUUGGUUAAUACCCAAGAUGAGUGGACGUUACUCGCAGAAUAAGCACCGGCUAACUCUGUGCCAGCCGCCGCAGUAA
Molecule: ribosomal RNA, 501 nt
Filed under: uncultured bacterium
Lineage: Bacteria
Description: partial 16S ribosomal RNA
Rfam family: Bacterial small subunit ribosomal RNA
Source: RNAcentral